Non-coding RNA from Oryctolagus cuniculus (rabbit), 731 nucleotides. Lineage: Eukaryota; Metazoa; Chordata; Mammalia; Lagomorpha; Leporidae. The record is from RefSeq and is a predicted model, not a curated record.
AAAUGCAUAUAUAUAAGACAUAAUAGUCUGACUCAGAACUUGGAAUACAAUUAAGUCAUCAUGUAUGACUGUUCCAUAAUCAUUGUAAGAAUCCAAACAUGGGUCAUCAAAAUUAUUAAUAACCAAAUCUCUUCCACAUAUAGUGUGUGAUUUAGUAAGAGGAGAGGCCCUCAGAUGUUUGUUCUCCACUUUGAUUCCUAAUCAAGACUCAUGAAAACUCUCCCAUCUGCACUGGCCCAGGAAGUCCAUGUCUAAAGAGGAUUUGAAGCAAAAAUAUACGCAAAGUUACAGAGAGAAAAGACGAGACGGAGAACUUCCAUCUGCCCAUGAGCAGGGCAGUGGAUAGGAAGUGGAGCAGCCAGGACUCAAACCAGCACCUAGCUCACCAAAAUGCCUGCUACAGAUCAGAAUCUCACACAGGAUUUUUAGUCACCCCAUUCCCGAUGGCUUUGAAGAUUUCCUCGGAGACAGUUGAUGGAGUCAAAGAAAAUUAAGUACAAAGGUUAUAUAAAUUGCAAAACCAACCUAAUGGAAGCCACCAUAUUUGUCUGUUCUGCUUCAAUAAACACAGAAAAAAGAUAAAGCUGCUGCAGAGAACCACACUGUAGCUUUGCCUGAGGGAGAACCUUAAGAAAAUGUACCAGUGUGACGUGUUUUUCUGACAAGCGGAAAAGAACAUGGAAGUAAAGUUAUCCACAUAAAUUAGGACAGACAGCUGGUCAGAGUCUGCC